This 885-nucleotide ribosomal RNA is filed under the name uncultured bacterium. RNAcentral describes it as "bacterial SSU rRNA". It matches the Rfam family "Bacterial small subunit ribosomal RNA", at positions 1 to 858 of the family's 1533-position model. The record is from RNAcentral.
CGGCCACCAUGCGCGGCCGCGGGAAAUCGAUUAGGUUGAUCUGGGCUCAGAUUGAACGCUGGCGGCAUGCGUGACACAUGCAAAGUUGAACGGCAGCACGGGGGCAAACUUGUGGCGAGUGACGAACCGGGUGAGUAAAUACAUCGGAACGUGUCCUGGAGUGGGGGAUAGCCCGGCGAAAGCCGGAUUAAUACCGCAUACGCUCUGUGGAGGAAAGGGGGGGAUCUUCGGACCUCUCGCUCAAGGAGCGGCCGAUGGCAGAUUAGCUAGUUGGUGGGGUAAAGGCCUACCAAGGCGACGAUCUGUAGCCGUUCCGAGAGGACGACCAGCCACACUGGGACUGAGACACGCCCCAGACUCCUACGGGAGGCAGCAGUCGGGAUCUUUGGACAAUGGGCGCAAGCCUGAUCCAGCAAUGCCGCGUGUGCGAAGAAGGCCUUCGGGUUGUAAAGCACUUUUGUCCGGAAAGAAAACCUCGUGGUUAAUACCCGUGGGGGAUGACGGUACCGGAAGAAUAAGCACCGGCUAAUUACGUGCCAGCAGCCGCGGUAAUACGUAGGGUGCAAGCGUUAAUCGGAAUUACUGGGCGUAAAGCGUGCGCAGGCGGUUCGUUAAGACAGAUGUGAAAUCCCCGGGCUUAACCUGGGAACUGCAUUUGUGACUGGCGGGCUAGAGUAUGGCAGAGGGGGGUAGAAUUCCACGUGUAGCAGUGAAAUGCGUAGAGAUGUGGAGGAACACCGAUGGCGAGGGCAGCCCCCUGGGCCAAUACUGACGCUCAUGCACGAAAGCGUGGGGUUCAAACAGGAUUAGAUACCCUGGUAGUCCACGCCCUAAACUUUGUCAACUGCUGUCCGCGCCUUCAUUACUUAGUGACGCAGCUAACGC